UAACUGUGAAGCAGCAGAACAACAGGAAAAGCAAGUAUUACUUUCACUAUAGACAGCAAAAGACCUGGGACCUGGGAUCUGGGAUUAAAUCUAACUCAAAAAUGAAGCUGUUUUCUUUUUUUGUAAUCUGCAUUUUGUGGAUCUGUACACAGGCAAAAGAAUCAUCGCCUAAAGUCCAAGUAUACAGUUAUAGGCCUGGUGAAUUCGGCAAGGACAACUUUCUGAUCUGCCAUGUGAGUGGUUUCCAUCCUCCAGACAUCCACAUUGAGCUUCUGAUGGAUGAAGAGGUGUUUUCUCAAGCCCAUCAGACAGACCUGGCCUUUGAGAAGGGCUGGAUGUUCCAUCUCACCAAAAGUGUGCCUUUUAAACCCCAAAAGGGCAAAGACUACUCAUGCAGAGUCAGGCAUAUGCAAAAAACUCAGACCUUUGUCUGGCAACCUGAUAUGUGAACGUGAGCAUGAGUUGACAGAGGGGGUACAUUAAAAAUAUUAUUCAGUGAAUUCAGCUGAAAUGGGACUCAAGCACUACAAAUCUGUGAAAGACUGGAGGCUGGUGAUGGAGACACAGAGUUUCAUGUUUGAAUGACAAAUGUCUUGGAUUUUGAAAAGCACUUUAAAUAGUUAAUUUACACUAUUUGCUGAUAUUAGGUUCAUAAGGUCACUUUCAGGGUUACAGUUGUUUUGUCAGCUGCUUCCUGGUUGCCACAGCAGAUCAUUUUCCACUAAUUUAUCCUAUCCUCUUAUACACACUUAAAAGGGUUGUUGUAUAUGCAUGUAAGUUCAUGUAUGCAGGUUACUACUUUAUUCUACAUGAUUGAAAUAAAUUCUUGUCUGUA
Molecule: long non-coding RNA, 835 nt
Organism: Tachysurus fulvidraco (yellow catfish)
Lineage: Eukaryota; Metazoa; Chordata; Actinopteri; Siluriformes; Bagridae
Exons: 4
Source: RefSeq, a predicted model, not a curated record